RNAcentral lists this long non-coding RNA (11544 nucleotides) under Triticum aestivum (bread wheat). Its description in RNAcentral is "long non-coding RNA (TAES_LNC007981)". Lineage: Eukaryota; Viridiplantae; Streptophyta; Magnoliopsida; Poales; Poaceae. The record is from RNAcentral.
AAAAGAUGUUUAAUCUCAGACUUUUAACUCUGAAGACAUAUGACAUCCAGAAACAUGCAUCAUUUACUCUAAUAUAGAUAUAAAUAUUCAUCAGUACAUCAUUUUCAUCACAUCGGUUCGAUAUGUUUCUCUAUUUUUGCUUGGUUUUGCCGGCAGUGCACCGUUAACAAACACCAUCUUCGAUACGAGCAUCGCGAAAGUGCUGAACACCCCUCACCAGAUUCCAGGCUUGAGCCUACGAUUCUUUGAAACAAACCUUGCAGACUUGAGCUUAUGCUUCCUUGCAAGACGAGUUGCAACCUUGUCAUUGUCCAGUGCCAUCCCUUUGAAAAUAGAAAUUAAAACAACUCAGAUAUAUACACCAUCUGAACAUCUUGCGAGCAGUAUGGGAAGAUGAGAUGAAUUAAAACUUAAUAAAUGACGUACACAAUAAUAGUUAAAAAAGGAAUAGACACACAAUAAAGAGAAAUGGCAUUGCAGUGGAGUAUACUGAUAAAGAAAACAGCUUCGCCUAAAUAUUAAUGCAAACAUAAUGGCAUGCUAGACUUGAUCUGCCUUCAGAUCUUAAUGCCAUCAUCUCUUUACCGUUAGCUCUCAGCUACAUGUCAUCAUAGUGUAGUCUUCUUUAUUUCGUUCUUUUUUGCGACAACGAAUGUUGUCUGAGAACACCACGUAGCCAUGAUGCAUGUGACGUUUGUGGCCUCAAUGAGCAGGUAUUGCCUUUGCCAAUCAGCUGGAAGGAUUACAACUCACGCAGGGGAUUGGUGGUGAUCGUGCUGCAGACGGGACGGCACAGGGGUGCUGUAUUAAGGUGGCACAAGGCUGAAGCCAACAAGAGGACAGCAAACUCAAGAAACAUGGAGUACCGACAACAACAACAGUCGAGGUGUAAGGAUGUCGGAUGAGGCGUGAGAAGAUGAAGAAAACAGUCGGAAGGCUUAGACCUGGGAAUGGUUUGGACUCAAACUUCAAUUUUGGAUCAGUUUUCCUACUGGACUCUUUAGGUUUGGAUAAAAUGGGCUGAGUUUCUAAUGUAAGUUGGUUUGAUUUGGGUUUUUUCUAUUAUUGGUUUGGUUUGGUUCGGUCUGGUCACAUACCAAACAAUCCCAAACUAUUUCAACCCAUGGACUAAGAACCAAAUCGGCCACCAGCUUCUCCUCCUCACAGUUCGCAUCGUAAUGGCAAUGUCGUCUCGUCGUUACUGCUAAGACCACGGAUACGGCGGGUGGCGGAACCAAAACCACAGUCUAUGGGCUCGGGUCGUGCACCAGGAAAAUCAGAAAAGGCGGGCUAAGGGCUGUGUGUAGAGCAGGUAUCGGCUUAGAGCAUCUACAACCGCACAUGAUAAAUAUGACCUCUUAAACGUCCACGGAUAGGGACCGGACACUCCUCAAAUUAGCACAACUACAUCCGGACAUCUCAUACUAGAUUCUCUAAUCCACAAAAGCAUGCAAACGAUAAAACCUACUCCCUCCGUACCUAAAUACAACUCGUUUUAGAGAUUCCAUUAUGAACUACAUACGCAGCAUGAGCGAAUGUACACUCUAAAAUACGUCUAUAUACAUAUGUAGUUUAAUGUUGAAAUCUCUCUAAAAAACUUAUAUUUAGGAACGCGGGAAGUACGUACUACAUAGAUGAUCUAGUUACUCAUCGUCAGAGAUGUCGACAAUAUUCGUGCCUGGCUUCGACAGCAUGGGGAGCACCUGCAGCUCCGACGCCUCCGGCUGCUCCGCUCCGGCCUCCUCCUCCCCUAUCUCUGCAUCGAGUUCAACGAAGACUGUGCCGGCCGCCGUCUGCUCCUGCAGGAGGAACUGCCAGUUGGCCUCCGCAUAGGCCUCAUCCUGGAUGGACUCCAAGCUGGCCUGCUGCUCCGCCAUCUCCGCGGCUUGGGCGAGGUGAACUCCGCCUCCGCCUCCGCCUCCGCCUCUACCAUGUUGAACCCCGUAGCAGGCUGGUCCGCCUCGUCCUCCUCCGGAUCCGCCAGCUCCAUUGGCUCCGACAGCAGCUCUCCUUCCUCCGGCUGCUCCUCCUCCUCUUCCUCCGGCUCCGUCGAGUCCGGGGGCAUCCCGGCAGCGAUGCGGGCGGCACGCCUUGCCCGGGCUGCCUCCGUGAUCUGCCUCCGGCGCUCCGGCGUGAGAAUAGCGUACGUGGUGAUCAGCCGCCGGACCAUGGCAAUGCCGGAGGGCGUGGGAUAGCGGGGGAGAGGUGGCGGAAGGGAUCGAGUGGCGGUACAGAGAAGGAGGAGGUGGAUGGGCUAGGGUUGGCCUCGGGUAGCGAGCCGAAGCAGCACCACCCGACAUUUACACCAUGGCAACGAAGGAGGCAUCCGUCUGACCUCUGAGUUUUCGGAUGAGUCCACGUGGGACCCCAUCAUCAGUCCUACGUGGUGGACGCACCCGGGCACCCCAUAUCCCCCUAUAUAUAUUUGGGCUAGAUAUGAGGAGUGCCGGUCAGCCCAAGCGUUUAAGGCUCGUUCAAGGCGCCCGUCUGGGUCGAAAAUUUGUGACCUAUCAGUGACUGGGUGGCCCGCCUGGGCGUAUGUGGCGGGUUUGGGAUGCCGGGCUAUAGAUGCUUUUAGAGGCAAGCAUCUCGUCGACGUCCACUUUCUGCUCCGUCUGGAUACAGCGGUUGGCCUCCGCCUCCGACAGAAAUGAAUCGAGGAUUGACUGCUGCUUCGCCUGCAUCGGUCAGUGACUAGGUCGUCCGUUCGGGCAUUUAAUGGGGUUUAAGGCUUUCCGUCACGCAUUUGUGAGUAUGAUGAAUCCAUUUGUUGUAGGUAAUUAGUUAACCAUCGAACAGGAGGCCCCUAGGUAGAUUUAACGCCAAGUUGAACCUCAUUUAACCAUCGAACAGGAGGCCUAGUGUCGCUCCCCGCGAGCGGCCCGAGCACUAACCCUAGCCGCCGGGCACCGCCGCCACCCAUCCCACCCUCCUCCCUCGCCGCCGCCGGCGAGCGCCGCCCAGGCAAAGCCCGUGUGGUGUCGGCGGCGGCGGGCUCUUCCACUCCCGCUCGCGAGGUGGGCUGUGCGGGGCAGUUGCGCCAAGCGGACGAGGCAGGCGCGAGGCGCUACGGCGUGUGGCUGUGUGUGGGCCGGCGCUGCUCGGCACGCCAUGGUCGCGGUGUAGGAGUCGUGGGCGCACGAGGUCUCCAGCCCGCGCGGCUCUGGCGUCGAGGGCGCGCGCUGUGGCGGGCUUGGCUGCGCUGGGAGGCACCGUGCUCGCGCGCCGGGGAUCCGGAUCUGGCGCCUGGAUGUCGCGCCGUGGCUUUGGCGACCCGGAUCUGGUGUGCCCGCGGGGCCCCGCGGCUGGCGGCCCGCCUGCGGCUCGGAUCCAUGGCGGCGGCCAUGGCUGGUGGCACGCGGCGCAGCUUGGCGGUGAGCAGCGCCGGCAUGGACAGAUGGACCGAUUCCCUGGCCAUGUGGAUGGUGGGGAGGUGGUGGGCUUCGGCUGCGGCGGCGGUUCCUCGCUGGAUGUUGGUGGCCAUGGUGAUGUUCGUCCUCGACCCUGAUCUACUCCGAUCUGCAGCGGAUCCGGCCCUUGGUGGCUUCGGUCACCAUUCUUGGGUGCUGGCCUUGCAGAUCCGGUGGCUGGAAGGGUUCCGGGGGAAUCUCUUGGCCGGCGUGGCGGCCACUCCGAUGGCAGUGCCUUUGGGUGUUGCUUCCCUCGUUGGAGGCUUCGGGGAGGACGUCCUUCCUUCCACCCCUCCCAGGAGCUCAGGUGAAAACCUCAAAAACCCCUGUUCCAAGCGACGACGACACCACGGUGUCGUGCUCCUUCCUGAAGGCGUUGCUCGGGGGCUGCUCAAUUGGCGGCGGUUCGGUGUCGACACAUGCAUUCUGGUCAGCUUCAUCUUGAAGGCUGCGGCGACGUAGGCGACGCUCGUCUGGUGGAGCUACUGCUGAUGGUCGAGGCAUCGUCGGCAGUCUGCGCCAUCAGGUUCGGGGUGCUCAGGGGGAAACCCCAGAUCUGGGUCUUCCGGAUCGGAUGAUGAUGGCGUUCUAUCGCUUACCCUUCUGGGGCCAUCGUCUUGGAGCAAGUGCUGGCUGGAGGGAUGGUGGAGCGGUGUUUCAUCUCACACUUUGAUGGCGGCGGAGAUCGAUGGCAUGGCGCUGUGGAGACUCGGCGUCCGAUGUGCGGAGAUGGGCUCGCGCAGGAGGAGGUUGUUGUCUGGCGUUAUGGUGACGUCGAUGGCUGAGUGGCCAGACAAGGUAGAAGCCUCAAUAUGAUCUGAAGACCUGUGGAAGAUGGCGGCGACGACACACGAGUGCGUCUGACCGGGUUGUGCCCCAGACCCGUUAUGUGGCUCGGCUGGGGCCUCCGAAUGAGUUUCGGCUUCCGGCUUUUGAUGUUAGGCUUAGGUGAGUGGUUUGGGUAGUGGCCCAGCUAGCACCCCUUCAUCAUUUUCGAUAGGAGUAGCGGCAUAUGUUGCCAAGAUGGUGGAUUCAGACACAUUGUUGUAACACUUUGUAAGGUCCUCGAGAAUAAUCAAUAAAGUGUCGUAUGCAUCAGAGGCCGGGGGUCAUCCUCCUUUUCUAAAAAAAAAUUGUUGUAGGUAUGGUGAAUCAGUUGUGAGUGCGUGGCUAGCUUUAGAGUCCACAUGCACGCAUGCAUGUUUCAUUGGUCACGCAUUUUAAAAACGACAGCGACAGAAAUUAGGAGGCAUGCGGCAGCAGCUAAUCAGAAACGACAGCGAUGGAAAUUAGGAGGCAUGCGGCAGCAGCUAAUCAGAUACUGUACACGCCCAUGGUUUGGAACUUCAGGUACGAACUGUAUAUAGUCUGGAUUGGUUUGGAUUGAAAAUAUGUACAGUUUGGGUUGGUUUGGAUUGCACCCUAUGCUGUUUGGUCUAAUCUGGUUUGGUUGCUGGACUUAUACACAUAUGGAUUGGGCUGGGUUUAGUCUGGAUUACAAAUUAUUCCCAGGUUUAGGAAGGCUUGUCGCCAGAACCAAGACGAAAACAGUCACAUGAGAAGCGCUAAUUCUACAGGAGUUUUACCUAAUGACAUUACCAUGCAGGGAGACCGGCUUUUCACUGAACCAGUAUCCAGUUAGUUCCACGUGUAUGAAAGGAGUACACAUUAUUAGAAGGAUUCUGACAGAGGAACAGCCAAAGAUGUGACCUGGUUGACCCAAAGUAACCCAACCACAUACACAUUCAAAAACUUUUACUAACAGAAAAAUAUACUCCUUGAGGACAUUAUGUGACGGAGGGAAUAUGUGUUUAAAGCAUCACAUAUCUUCUGAAGUUACAAGACAUUUGCUCCGAUAUAGAAAAUAGAGGACAAUAUAUUUGUAUCUUUUACCAAAGCAAUCAAAAUAGCGUGGUUCCUAGAAUUUGCUUCAAAAUAGCACGCACGACUAGUAGCAACAGAAGGCUGCCUAAUGAAUCAAGAAAUACGCGUGUGCACAGAUAAUGGGCACGAUGCAGAGGCCGAGGGAUGUCCCCUCUUUUUGAAAAGAAAAACACAGAUAAAGGACCGGUGUUACCAUAUCCAACAGAAAGCUAAGCAAAUGUAACCAUGUCAAUAAAAGACAUAAUUUGAAUAUUGAGUGAGCUUCUUGUAGCUAGCUAGCUACCUGUUGGCCUUUCAAGGUGUUUGGAGAAGACAGUUGGAAGUAGGAGCGUAUUAGGAAAAUCGUUUCUGGCAUCCACACACUCAGCACAACCCACAUCCGCACACUUAGCACAGUAGGAAUGUCGAUUGAUAUAUGGAGUACAUGACCGCAUAUAGGCAUGCUUCAUGUCAACCAUGAUCAUCCACCCCUUGACAUUAAAUUCCUCCUCCCUUAACAAGCAGCAAAGAACAUCUGGGUCCUCGACGCUGACGAUUGGGAACUCGGGAAGACGCUGCCGUAUGCCCAGAGCUUCGUAACCACGUUGCGCCCAUAGACAAUCCAGGUUGAUCACGCCAUGUUGCUCCCACUUGAACUUGUCGGAGUUCAAAGUCCAUAUGGUGAUUUUUUGGGAACCCUGAUGCUGCUGCCCUUGGCUUCUUCUCUCGGGAAGCUGACGCCAUGUCCAGUCAUCCUCGAUUGUCUCAUGGAAGUCAUUGUCAAUGUGGACAAAGCGCAUCUUGCCUUGGCUGAUGGACACGUUCCGGAACCUCCCCGGGAACUCCCUUGGGACCCGUACCUCUGCAGGGUAUUCCUUCUCUCCAGGGAAAGGUACGAAGUGGAGCGUCGGAGAACCGAUAGUGGAAGAGAAGUCAGAUAGCAGGACACCGCUGAAGUAGUCAACCCAGCAGAGGAAACGGCCGUCGAAAGCGAGCGCAUCGUCAGUUGACCAUUGGUUGGGGAGCUGACCACUGCUGCUCUUGUUCUGCUCCGGCGUGUGCCAACGUAUCAGGCCAGGCGUAAUGGAGAUGACCUUCCAGUCUUUGGCCUCGGAGGAGGAGUUGAAGACGCAGAGUGCGCCAUCCAGGACACAGAGGUCGGCGACGAUGAAGCGCUUCUCCGGGAGCCGCAGGAUGCCCGUGGUGAAUUUACCCUUCAGGAAAUGCCGCCAUUUCCUAUCCUUGGCGUACAUAGGGAGCCGCUGCACCGAUGGGGAAGGGCCGGCGGCCGUGUAGACGAACAGAGCUGCCGGCGCGCGCAAGUAGGGAAGCCGGCUCGGGUCGUAGAUGUCGAAGAGGACGAGGUCCUUGUCGGUUGCCCGGAGCAGGGCAUAGACGGCGUCGGAGCCUUCUCCCACCGGCCAGUGGAGGUUGAGGUAGGAGACCCCUUGUGGAGCCGCGAGGGUGAAGGACACGUAGCAGGAGCAGCCGCGGUCAAUGCGGAGUCGAGCGGCGGUCUUGUUCUUGCUGACGAUCAGACGAGCGGCGUCUAGGUCCUUGUGGCAGCGGGUGCGGCCCAUGCGAUCCAGCAUCGCCCAGUCGGGGAAGACGGCGGCCUCCUCCAUCGCCCAAUCGGUGAAGACGUCGGUCUCCUCCUCCUCUUCCUCCUCCGCCAUCUCCCAAUCGGAGAGGACGACCGUCUCCUCCUCAUCGGAGCUUGGCCCGGCUUCCAUGGGCAGCAUGGCGAUCGGGAUCGGGAAUAAAGCAGCUGCCGCCUCCCUAGCCCAAAAGGACCCUAGGUAUAAAAUUUUGGGCCCAGUUCGUACCGACGAGUACUUCUCGGACGACGACCAAGCACAGCUGACUGAUCACGAUGAAGUUCUUUUACGUUGAUGAGAUUGCACCGCACCCGAUCAAUCUUUCGCUGGCCGCGAUGCAGUUUAGCCGAACCUAGGUCACGUAGAAAGGUAUUGCCACAGGAUUUUGUGUUGCUUCAAAACCACAGUAGUAGUACAAGUUACAGGGUGCAUGCAUAUACUAUAUAGUACUCUGAUGCUAACCGCCUGAAGCAAUACUACUCGGAUACUAAUUCCUACAUGGAUACAUACAAGAACAAGAAACCUAUACACACCAACACGAGGUUAUGUCGUGUUUUUUUUUUCGCAAGCGAGGUGUACUGUCAUUGCCCGAUACAGUAGGAUUUUGCGUCGUCAGUUGCCAUUGCUCGCAUGUGCAUGACGGGCUCUUAUAAGAAUAUAUUUUUAAAUGAAGUUAAAAAAGAAUAUAUUUUCAAAUGCGAUCACUUUCUAAAAUUAUAUGAACAAUUUUAAAUUGCAUGAAAAACUUUAGUUGCACAAAAAACUUCUUAAAAACUUACUACAUUUUUUUUCAAACAUGAAAAUUUUGAAUUAUUUAAAAUAUGUGAUUUUUAAAAAAAACAUGAAUAUUUUUUAGAUUCAUAUGACUUACUAUAUGUGUGAAUAUUUCUACAUAAAAGCCGAGUUCUUGGUGUAGUGAAAUCCUCUAGCACUUGACGCUCUGACUUGGUGGUUUGAUUUGCAAAUUUCACCAAGUUGUUCUGGGGUUGGAAGUCGGCGAUUAGCGGGAUGGGGUAAUUCAAGUCAUUGGAAUCUUGCCAAUUGAAAUAUCGUGGUUUGUCGAUUACAGAUGGUGAGUAGGAAAUUAUAAAAUUCUAUAUCCAAAAACAGAGUAGUCGGCAUAAUUGAAUAACAAGAACCGAAACUGAGUUUUUUACCAGCAAGGUAAAAAGGUCAGAACUGGUGGAUGGGGAGGGACGGGAACGAAUGGUCACAGAGUCAAGUUAUACCAACUGGGCCACAUUUCAAAAAAGAAAAAAGGAAACCUAUCAAGUACUUAAGGCCUCCCUACAGGCUUAUUACUAGAGCACCAAACAAAUUCAACCAAAUAAACUGGAGCAACAGACAUAUUCUAUGUCUCCUCAAUGUCAGGUACAGUAUGUCAAAGGGGUGCAGAGAACAUCAGGCAUCUACUCUUCACGUGUGAGCAAGCCUAACAGGUUUGGAAGUUUCUCAGAAUUCAUGAUCUUUUAGAAAAGGAGGAUGACCCCCGGCUUCUGCAUCUAGACGACGCAUACUGCCACUUUAUUAUUUAUUCUCACAAAACCUUACAAAGCCAUACAAAAGCAAGACUAAAGCCACCGUCUAAGCAACAACUGUCACUACACCUAUCCAAUUGAUGAAGGGGCGCAGAUAGUCUGAGCCUAAUACCAAACAGACAUCGCAGCCAAACCUAAACAUCUAAGACCUGAGGUCCCAACCAGGACGCCUGUCGGGUAUGAGGCACCUACCAGUCCGAUACUCUCCUCAACCAGGACGCCUGCCAGGUAUGAGGCCGCUGUAGCCAUCUGCCAUCAACCAUCUUCAGAGUUGUACUGUUGCAUGUACCGUGCCAGGUCUCUCUGCCAUCGACGCCACCACGACGCCCGAUAGCGUCGUCCUCCUGCGCGAGUCCAUCCUCCCACAUCGAACUCCGAAUCUGCACUGCUCCACGCCCUCAGGAUCCGUCGCCAUCAGUGUAUAGGAUGAAGCACCGCUCCACCAAAGAAUCUGUCCUCUGGUCCCUCGAUCACAUGUGUACCUCCAAGAAUGACGCCCCCAAGGGAGGAACGACACCAUAGCACCGCCGCAUCCGAUCAUCCGAUCUGUGGUUUCCCCCGGAGGUAGCAGAGAGUGGCCUUGGACUUCUCCACGGCGAUGCCUUCAAGAAGGGAACGACACAGAUAGCGCCGCCACUGCCAGCCUUAGCAGGAGCCGAAGGCAAAUUUUCACCCAGAUCAGUUCGAAGGGAUCCAACUCUCGUGCCCGGGCCACCGUCACCACCAGCACCACGAGGCAGACCCUGGAGUACCGGCAUAUCAGCGAGUCGCCGGCACCACCGCAUCCAGAUCGCCGGCCACGCCGGGCCGCCGCCAUCCCCCGUGCCGUCCGGGUCAGAGAUGGAGCCGCCGACCGCGCACAGGGACCGCCGCCGCCUGCACACGCCGGAGCGCCGCCGAGAUCCCGGCGCCCGGCACCGCUUGCCGAAGCCAACUGCCUGAGCACUGGCUCCACCGUGAAGCCAUCAGAUCGGGGAGGAAGACACACGCCGACCACCCUCGCGUACCCCGCCGCACGCCCGAGCAUCGGAGCCACCGUGGCGCCAUCAGAUCGGGAUGAGGAGGAGCCCGCGCGCUCGCCGCCUCGCGCAGACCACGCCGCCGCCAGCGUCGCAGCGCCACCAAGCAGGGGAGCCCCGCCCAGAUCCAUCGGCGGCCCGACCUGUCGCCGAGCCGNNNNNNNNNNNNNNNNNNNNNNNNNNNNNNNNNNNNNNNNNNNNNNNNNNNNNNNNNNNNNNNNNNNNNNNNNNNNNNNNNNNNNNNNNNNNNNNNNNNNNNNNNNNNNNNNNNNNNNNNNNNNNNNNNNNNNNNNNNNNNNNNNNNNNNNNNNNNNNNNNNNNNNNNNNNNNNNNNNNNNNNNNNNNNNNNNNNNNNNNNNNNNNNNNNNNNNNNNNNNNNNNNNNNNNNNNNNNNNNNNNNNNNNNNNNNNNNNNNNNNNNNNNNNNNNNNNNNNNNNNNNNNNNNNNNNNNNNNNNNNNNNNNNNNNNNNNNNNNNNNNNNNNNNNNNNNNNNNNNNNNNNNNNNNNNNNNNNNNNNNNNNNNNNNNNNNNNNNGGCCGUCCCGCACCGCCCAGGAGCCUCGCAAGGGGGGAGGGAGCCCCGCCGCCGCCGACGCACGCGCGGGCUUUGCCCGGCGACGGCCCCUGGCGGCGGCGAGGGAGAAGGAAGGCGAGGAAGGGGAGCGGCGGCGGCGAUCUAGGGUUCCGCCCGGGCCGCUCGCGGGAGCGGCACGGGGGACGGGGGGCACUAGGAUUCCUCGUUACCUUGCCUUGCGACAUGCAUUCCCAUCUCGGAAUUCAUGAUAUUGUAGAAAAAACACUUUUUGUUGAUCAAUCGGGGUCCAUCAUUUUGGAGGAGAUCCUUCGUCACACCGGAGCAUCGUCACCGGUUCUCGGACAAAUUGGUGUGAAGGUAAUUGUUUUAGCGGGUGCCUGGUACAUUUGGUGGCAAAGGAGUAAACUUGUCAAAGGACAGCAAGUAGCUUGGCCGGCUAGAACAACAUUUGCUAAUCAGGCUUUCACCUCAAACCAUUCUACCGUGCGAGCAGUGAAGGCACAUGAAAUUUCAUGGACAAAGCCACCACGGGGUUCAUAUAAACUUAGGGACUGUCUAGGUCUCAGUCGACUGAGACUUCGCGAAGUCUCAGUCGGCUGACGUCAUCAUAUGUAGAUUAGGCCUGUUAAGUGGCUCUCUAUCUGCUGGGUUGAACCGGCUUAACACCUGGGCUGAUUUCUCUUUUCCUGUUUGUUUGUUGGGCUGGGCCAUGACAUUGUUUGCUUGUGGGCCUGGACGACAUAGGAAAAAGAUAAAAAAAAACUAUUUGCUGCUCUGCUUUAUGAACUCUACUUUUUGACUGAACCCAGGCAAAACCCCAUGCCCACAAGCAUGGAGAAACUCACUAGUGUAAGGGCGUCUGAUCUCUUCUCUGAUUUUCUCCCCCUCCCACCUUUCCCCCCGUCUUCUCUUCUGUGAUUUGUUCUAGAUCUGAUUUUCUUUUCUCUCUUCUCAUGUUUGUAACAGCAAUCCUGUAGCAGUAUGGAAGAUUCCUGAUGGGACAGAGGUUAGAGUUAUAAUUUGUAGGAAAAUUAGAGAAGAGGCAAAACUGAAUCAAGUACUAUUGGACCGCAUGUGUGUUGUAGCAAUUCUGACAGCAGAAAAUCAUUUUAUUUUUAACUGUAUGUCCAUGAAAAAUUGAUGUUGGACUCCUCCCUACAAAAGUUGUAUAUGGAUUGAUUGGUUCAUGUUUUAGGACAGAAUAUGGCUUGGUAAUUAAAACAGAAAUCAGUAGGGUGCUGCCCUCUCCCCUGCACAAGACACUAAAAGGAAAGACUGAACUUUUUUCAAGAUUUGCUACAGUGGGGUUGUAUUACAAGCAUAUUAUCAUACAUGACCCUGCCUAGUGUACAGAAACAGAUGAGAAAAAUGUAGCAUGGUUAACAUCUAGUUUGGUGACUACAGAAGAUCAAGAAUGUAUAGUGUUAACUAAGAAAAAAGAAACAGAGGCAUAGAAAAAAUGAACCUUUCUUGUGGAUGACCAAAUAUACCUCAGCAAUAAUGUUUUCUCUUCAUUUUGUAGGUGCUGGACGGAACUAUGGCACAAAGAACUCCAAACAGCUGUGGACCAGGACCAGUUAAU